GACGAACGCUGGCGGCGUGCUUAACACAUGCAAGUCGAGCGGAAAGGCCCUUCGGGGUACUCGAGCGGCGAACGGGUGAGUAACACGUGAGUAACCUGCCCUUGGCUCUGGGAUAAGCCCGGGAAACUGGGUCUAAUACCGGAUAUGACCAUUGGAUGCAUGUCUGAUGGUGGAAAGUUUUUCGGCUGGGGAUGGACUCGCGGUCUAUCAGCUUGUUGGUGGGGUAACGGCCUACCAAGGCGACGACGGAUAGCCGGCCUGAGAGGGUGACCGGCCACACUGGGACUGAGACACGGCCCAGACUCCUACGGGAGGCUG
This 318-nucleotide ribosomal RNA is filed under the name uncultured Actinomycetes bacterium. RNAcentral describes it as "bacterial SSU rRNA". It matches the Rfam family "Bacterial small subunit ribosomal RNA", at positions 28 to 351 of the family's 1533-position model. Lineage: Bacteria; Bacillati; Actinomycetota; Actinomycetes. The record is from RNAcentral.